UUACGUGAAUACAUAGCGUAAUGAAGCGAACCGGGGGAACUGAAACAUCUAAGUACCCCGAGGAAAAGAAAUCAACCGAGAUUCCCCCAGUAGCGGCGAGCGAACGGGGAGCAGCCCAGAGUCUGAAUCAGCUUGUGUGUUAGUGGAACGGUCUGGAAAGUCCGACGGUACAGGGUGAUAGUCCCGUACACCAAAAUGCACAGGUUGUGAACUCGAAGAGUAGGGCGGGACACGUGGUAUCCUGUCUGAAUAUGGGGGGACCAUCCUCCAAGGCUAAAUACUCCUGACUGACCGAUAGUGAACCAGUACCGUGAGGGAAAGGCGAAAAGAACCCCGGCGAGGGGAGUGAAAAAGAACCUGAAACCGUGUACGUACAAGCAGUGGGAGCCUCUUUAUGGGGUGACUGCGUACCUUUUGUAUAAUGGGUCAGCGACUUAUAUUCUGUAGCAAGGUUAACCGUAUAGGGGAGCCGAAGGGAAACCGAGUCUUAACUGGGCGUUAAGUUGCAGGGUAUAGACCCGAAACCCGGUGAUCUAGCCAUGGGCAGGUUGAAGGUUGGGUAACACUAACUGGAGGACCGAACCGACUAAUGUUGAAAAAUUAGCGGAUGACUUGUGGCUGGGGGUGAAAGGCCAAUCAAACCGGGAGAUAGCUGGUUCUCCCCGAAAGCU
RNAcentral lists this ribosomal RNA (671 nucleotides) under Citrobacter freundii. RNAcentral describes it as "partial 23S ribosomal RNA". It matches the Rfam family "Bacterial large subunit ribosomal RNA", at positions 154 to 867 of the family's 2925-position model. The record is from RNAcentral. Lineage: Bacteria; Pseudomonadati; Pseudomonadota; Gammaproteobacteria; Enterobacterales; Enterobacteriaceae.